UUCAAAUAGUUUUGGAAUGCUCUUGGGUAUGACCUAUCCAUAACGUGGGUAGUUAGUUCCCUUGUGGCAAUCGCAAGACUGGUCUGUUACAAAAAUUCACCUUAAACCUUGUAAACUAUUGAUUCCCUCAGUUCCGUUUAUUUUUUUUUUCUCCAAAAAAAAAAAACUGGCCCCACAACGUCUUAUUUUUUCGUCAAAAGCUUUCUUACAUGUUUACAUAUGGCGAUUAUGGGUGGAUAUUAUAAAGGUUUUUAUUUGCGGCUUUCUUUUCUGCAUCAAGAAGGCAUGCUAGGAUUGAUUGCCGCAAAAUAUACGCAACCUUAUAUAUUAUCUCCCUAAUAUCGCA
Molecule: ribosomal RNA, 346 nt
Filed under: Eimeria ahsata
Lineage: Eukaryota; Apicomplexa; Conoidasida; Eucoccidiorida; Eimeriidae
Description: partial small subunit ribosomal RNA
Source: RNAcentral